UUUCGCAAUGCCCGAAAGGGUGACGAAGCGACGCCGCGUGAGUGAGGAAGGCCUUCGGGUUGUAAAGCUCUGUCAGGAGUUAAGAAAUAUAAGUGUGUUAAUACCACAUUUAUUUGACGAAGGCUCCAAAGGAAGCCACGGCUAACUCUGUGCCAGCAGCCGCGGUAAUACAGAGGUGGCAAGCGUUGUUCGGAAUUAUUGGGCGUAAAGAGCACGUAGGUGGGUUUGUAAGUCAGAUGUGAAAGCCUUCUGUUCGACGGAAGAAUUGCAUCUGAAACUGCGAGUCUUGAGUGUAGGAGGGGAGAAUGGAACUUCUGGUGGAGCGGUGAAAUGCGUAGAUAUCAGAAGGAACGCCGGCGGUGAAAGCGAUUCUCUGGCCUAUUACUGACACUCAGUGUGCGAAAGCUAGGGGAGCAAACGGGAUUAGAUACCCCGGUAGUCAUAGCUGUAAACGAUGGGCACUAAGUAGAGGGGUUUUA
Molecule: ribosomal RNA, 479 nt
Filed under: uncultured anaerobic ammonium-oxidizing bacterium
Lineage: Bacteria
Description: bacterial SSU rRNA
Rfam family: Bacterial small subunit ribosomal RNA
Source: RNAcentral